AGCUCAGUGAUUGCAACCACUCACAUUGGUUUUAUACGCUAUUCUGAUUGGAACUGUUGAAAAGUUAAGACUUAUGAGAGCU
This 82-nucleotide small nucleolar RNA is filed under the name Oryza punctata. RNAcentral describes it as "snoRNA U54". It matches the Rfam family "Small nucleolar RNA U54". From Rfam's summary of the family: U54 is a C/D box small nucleolar RNA, which acts as a methylation guide for 18S ribosomal RNA in plants. Lineage: Eukaryota; Viridiplantae; Streptophyta; Magnoliopsida; Poales; Poaceae. The record is from Rfam by way of RNAcentral.